CUGUUUUUCCACCGUGUCAGUUCAUAUGUCAACAUUGAGGCAGAUUGCUCCUGCUGCUUUGCCUUGCCUGAAUUAAGUUUUAUAUAUUUCUUUUCUUUAUUGUUUAUUUUGCCGUAGCCUCCGUCUACUGCUCUGUCUGACUGAUGUGGUAUUGGCUGUGCUAGUAGUGUAUAGCGUUACAUUUCUCUAUCCAUUUUUCUAGUGAUAACUAACUUGUUCUUUUCCUUGUCUUUCCAGAGUAUUAGCGUAGCUGCUCACAAGAGAGGUUCCUGGUUCCGUCCCCACACCCUGCACCACGUAUUGUAGUGAGUAUUAGCGUAGCUGCUCACAAGAGAGGUUCCUGGUUCCGUCCCCACACCCUGCACCACGUAUUGUAGUGGUAAAUUGCACUUCACAAUCUUGUUUGAAUCAUCGGCUUGUGGUGGUGUGUGCGUGUGCGUGUGUGUGCGUGUGUGUGGAUGCAUGGGAUCGUGGGCUCCAGGUUCCAGAGCACGGGUGGUGAACGUCACGCGUAUCUCGGACAGGUAACCUGCCUUGCCAGCGAAUCAGUAUUUUCUAGUUUAAUUGGUAAUCAUACAUUGUCCCCUGUAACAGCUAAUGCCAGGUCUAGUCUCUAUUAGUAAUGUGUCUCUAGGAUGACGGUGUGGCUCUUUUAAUGAUACCAUUGUAUAAUAAAGUUUUGUUACUGUUUUUCUACUG
Carassius auratus (goldfish) is the source of this 699-nucleotide long non-coding RNA. RefSeq lists it as uncharacterized. NCBI's taxonomy places the organism in Eukaryota, Metazoa, Chordata, Actinopteri, Cypriniformes, Cyprinidae. The transcript has 2 exons. The record is from RefSeq and is a predicted model, not a curated record.